This 73-nucleotide transfer RNA is filed under the name Dichanthelium oligosanthes. It matches the Rfam family "tRNA". From Rfam's summary of the family: Transfer RNA (tRNA) molecules are approximately 80 nucleotides in length. Their secondary structure includes four short double-helical elements and three loops (D, anti-codon, and T loops). Further hydrogen bonds mediate the characteristic L-shaped molecular structure. tRNAs have two regions of fundamental functional importance: the anti-codon, which is responsible for specific mRNA codon recognition, and the 3' end, to which the tRNAs corresponding amino acid is attached (by aminoacyl-tRNA synthetases). tRNAs cope with the degeneracy of the genetic code in two manners: having more than one tRNA (with a specific anti-codon) for a particular amino acid; and 'wobble' base-pairing, i.e. permitting non-standard base-pairing at the 3rd anti-codon position. The record is from Rfam by way of RNAcentral. Lineage: Eukaryota; Viridiplantae; Streptophyta; Magnoliopsida; Poales; Poaceae.
GGGGAUGUAGUUCAAUUGAUAGAACAUUAAUCAAAGCUGAUAAAAGGCACGGGUUUGACUCCUCGCAUCUCCA